GACGAACGCUGGCGGCGUGCUUAACACAUGCAAGUGGAGCGACGAACCGGGGCUUGCCCCGGGGCAGAGCCGCGAACGGGUGAGUAACACGUGGGUAACCUGCCUCAAUGAUUGGGACAACCCCGGGGAAACUCGGGCUAAUACCAAAUGUGUUCACUCCUUCUAAGGGGAGUGAGGAAAGGAAGCUUCGGCCUCCGCAUUGAGAUGGGCCCGCGGCCCAUUAGCUUGUUGGUGAGGUAACGGCUCACCAAGGCUUCGAUGGGUAGCUGGUCUGAGAGGACGAUCAGCCACACUGGGACUGAGACACGGCCCAGACUCCUACGGGAGGCAGCAGUGGGGAAUCUUGCACAAUGCGCGAAAGCGUGAUGCAGCAACGCCGCGUGGGGGAAGAC
Molecule: ribosomal RNA, 392 nt
Filed under: uncultured bacterium
Lineage: Bacteria
Description: bacterial SSU rRNA
Rfam family: Bacterial small subunit ribosomal RNA
Source: RNAcentral